This 1050-nucleotide ribosomal RNA is filed under the name Triticum aestivum (bread wheat). Its description in RNAcentral is "partial small subunit ribosomal RNA". Lineage: Eukaryota; Viridiplantae; Streptophyta; Magnoliopsida; Poales; Poaceae. The record is from RNAcentral.
AUGCCAGAAAUGACAGCAUUAAUGAGGUUUGCAAAGGAGAAGAUCAAUCAAGGUUUUCCCCACCAAAACAAGCAAGCUUUGCUCAAGAAGAUCAUUGACAUUGUUGACAAACGUUGGGAGAAUCAAAUGGAUCAUCCAUUAUAUGGGGCUGCUUUGUUUUUGAACCCUGGAAAAUACUUCUCUAUUGUUGAGAGUGGUGAUGAUGCCCUAAUUGGUGAGCUAAGAAGUUGUUUUAAUGAUGUCCUUGCACGAACAGUACUUGAUGUCAAUACUCGCAACAAGAUUGAUGCACAAGCCGUUGACUAUGAGGACAAGAGAGGACCCUUUGCUAAUCAGAUGGCAAUCGAUAACAUGGUCGGAAAAAACCCUCUUGAUUGGUGGCGUUCAUAUGCUGGUCGGGCAGUUGAGCUACAAAGGUUUGCAAAGCGUACUGUUAGUCUUUGUGCUUCAUCAUCCGGUUGUGAGAGGAAUUGGAGCGCAUUUGAACAUAUCCAUACCAAGAAAAGGAACCGGUUACAACACCGACUCUUGAAUGACAAUGUCUUUGUUUCAUACAACCGGAAGAACUUGGAUAGGUUUCAAAAGAGGCGUGAGAAGAUGGGUGGCAAUAACUAUGACCCUCUAGUCAUUGAGGAUUUUGAUUGGGGCAAUGAGUGGGUUGACCCAACAAUAUCUCCACCCCAAGGUGCUCGAGGGUGUCCCGAUGACAUUUCAUGGGAGCUUGUUGAUGAGGCUGUUGGUGCAAGUUCGUCGCUGCAAGGUCGCAACUUUCCUAGAGCUAGCACCAUGGCAAGGGGGGCCUCAAAUGUUAAUGUCCAGUACCAAAGGCAGCGCAAAAGGGCUGCUCCGUCACCAACAUUUCUUCAUGAAGAUGACGAAGAGGAUGACCAAGAACAACAAUCAAGUAUCCCCAAUGGAGAGGAUGAUGAUUCAGACUUUCUUCAAGAUGAUGUUGAUGUGACCGAUGAUGAUGAAGAUCCAACUAGUGCUGACCAAGAUGGCGAAGACAACACAAAUGCUAUCAUGGAUGAGUUCGAUGAUGGCUAUUGA